Molecule: ribosomal RNA, 434 nt
Filed under: uncultured bacterium
Lineage: Bacteria
Description: partial 16S ribosomal RNA
Rfam family: Bacterial small subunit ribosomal RNA
Source: RNAcentral
AGCGAACGCUGGCGGCAGGCUUAACACAUGCAAGUCGAGCGGGCACCUUCGGGUGUCAGCGGCAGACGGGUGAGUAACACGUGGGAACGUACCCUUCGGUUCGGAAUAACGCUGGGAAACUAGCGCUAAUACCGGAUACGCCCUUAUGGGGAAAGGUUUACUGCCGAAGGAUCGGCCCGCGUCUGAUUAGCUAGUUGGUGGGGUAACGGCCUACCAAGGCGACGAUCAGUAGCUGGUCUGAGAGGAUGAUCAGCCACACUGGGACUGAGACACGGCCCAGACUCCGACGGGAGGCAGCAGUGGGGAAUAUUGGACAAUGGGCGCAAGCCUGAUCCAGCCAUGCCGCGUGAGUGAUGAAGGCCUUAGGGUUGUAAAGCUCUUUUGUCCGGGACGAUAAUGACGGUACCGGAAGAAUAAGCCCCGGCUAACUUCGU